CCCCUUUUAAUCCCCAGACUGGAUAAUAUCUUUUUUUCUAUUUUCAUGUUCAGUAAUUCUUUCUUCUGCUUGCCCAAAUAUGCUGUUGAACCCAUCUGGUAAAUUAUUAAUGUAGUUCUGAUACUUCAGCUCCAGAUUUUCUUCAAUCCUGGAUAAACCAUUUAACAAAGAGCAAGAAUACAUCCUUCUUAUGAAGUAGGUUUUCCUAAACAGGCUCAAUAUGGUGAUGGCCAUCCUCCCACCUGAGGACAUAUUUUAGACAGGAUGCUGAUCACAAAGCUAUCUGAGUCAACCUCAGAGAAGUACAUUGGGAGGAGAAAAACAGCACAGGGAGGAAGCCAGUAGUGAACAACGGGGAGGAGAAGGAUGGUGGCUCGUCCCAAGGAGUCCUCAGAUGGGAUCAAUCAAUGAACUGCCCUUGUCCUCAAGUCUGACAUACAUUCUUCUCCCCCUACAUGAUCAAGAACCAGGCAAGGAUCAUGCCCUUCCCCUCAGAGCUGCCCUGAGAGCCUCCAACCUGGGCCUAAACUGGCCAAAUGAUAUGGGAAUAUGCAUUUAGUGAUCAGUCAAUCAAUGACCAGAGUUUUUGGCUCUUUGAUAGGGUGAUGCUGCCUUGUGACAAUAAGCAGUGUCAGAAGGAGGAUGUAGAGUCCCAUCAGUGAGGUCCCCCCAUCAGUGUCUGCAGAUGUGAAUGCUUCUGCCCAGCGAGCACUGUGAAUUACCUUCAACAUCAUUACAUCUUCCUUUGUAAUUUCACUAGACAUGGAUGUGUAAUGAAGACAAGUAAUGAGUAUCUCCCUUCAUGGCCUGUAGAACAUAUUCAAUUAAGCAUGGAGGACCUAGCUAAUCUUGUCAUGUGGGGGUUAUUAUUUAUACCAACUGUUUGAUUAUGGGCAAGACACAUGACCUCUUAAGUCUGUUUCCUCAUUUGUAAAACUGGGGGGCGGAAAGAGCUGGACCUUAGGGCUGUGGUAAGGCUAUUUCAAAGAGGUUGAUUAGAUUAAAUAUUAGCAGGGUCCUACACAGAGUCAGGGCUCAAGUAAUGUUUUCAACUAGUAUUAUUUUUAACACUGUUUUAUUAGCUGUAAAGUCAAGAAGAACCUGUUUAAAAUUUUGUUUUACCACUCCCAAGUUCUAUGACUUCCAUUGAUUGAUGCAUCUCAGGUCUAUGUAUGCACAAUAAUUCCUCUCCCUCAUGGGUUUGGAAGGGUCAAAGCAGAUGAAUGUGCCUGGCACACAGAAAUCACCUGGAAACAGUCAAGUAAUAUUAUUAUUACUAAUCAAUGUUGAGUGGCCUGGUAAAGGCCUGCCCUCCGUGACCCUCAAUAGUGAUGAAAAGAAGAAACAGAGAGAAGGGUCAUAGUGUGAGAGAAGACAUUCUAAAAGGAAAAUGAACAAGAUGUGGAAAUGGCUCCAUGUGAGAGAACAUAAAGUAAGUUCAAGGUUUCAAAUGCAAGAAACAAAAAAUGAUGCAACCACCUUCAGUGGGAGAGUUGGGAGGAUGUUGUGAUGACAGCACACACACACCACACACAGACCUCAGUUGCAUUUCCUUCCUCCCUAACCAGGCCCUCUCCCUAUAAUGCUUCUCAUGGUUUUCCCUCCAAUGGAUUUGCCUUUCAUUUACCCCACUCUUUCUCUUCUCCUUUUAGUGCAAGAAAAUGGCCCAGUCCUCAGUGUGGGGGCCAUUGUUGGCAUUGUGAUUGGGGUCCUGGUUGUGGUGGCUCUGGUGGCUGCCCUGGGAUGUUUCAUUUUCCUCGCAAGGAUUCGCAGGUACAAUGGUAUUUCCCAGAUGCUGCUCUUGUCUCAUAGACUGACCCCAGGUCAGGAAGGACACCCCGUCCUCUGAUUCUUGGCCUGACUUUCCACAGCCUCCCUACUUCCCCAUGGAGAUCCCCUCUCAUCCAUGUGGCUCCUUCCUCUCCAGAUGCUGACCUGGGGUGGCCUCCUUAACACCAUUCUCUUCUAUAAGUUAGCACAACUAAGACACGACCACCACCACAGUGUUGUCCUAGUUCCCUAAGCACAUCUACAGUUGUGUUGGCAGGUAUUUAGUCCUCAAUAAAUGGUACCUCUUGCUGUUUAUUUAAAUCCAGUUACCCUGAUGAAGGGGAUUCACAGCCUUAGGAUCUGAGGGUCAUUCUGGUCAAGGUCAUACAGCAGAGAGUGGAAAUCUGGAUAGGCCAGGUGGGGUCAAAUGACCCACAUGACAGAUGCAUUAAUGAUAGCCCCUGAUGUGUGAGACAGAAAAAACAAGCCAGGAUGGCAGGUCAUGGGCUAUCCUUUAUGCCUCUUGUCCAGGCAGAUGGAGAUAGAGGACAAGACCACUGUCACAUUUUAGCAUCUCCUGGCCUGAAGGCAGGUGGCCACAGCAAUGAGGAGAUCUCCUUGAGGUCUCCACAUCCUACUUAGAAAAAGGAACUUCCUUGUCCCAUGCUGUGGUACCAAAAUUGUGACCUCUCCCUGCACUUCUCACAAAUAAUCUUGACCUUUCCUAGCCCUGGUUGCCUGCAGAACAGCAGAGAAAACUGGUACAUAGAGUCAACACCGGGUAAGUGUCUGUUCAGCUCAUAAGUGGCUGGGAGCCAGUGGGCUUGCCUUGCAGUGUACACUCCAGCCACACACCCCCAGUCAGGCCUCUGACCCUUUCACUGGGGCUUCAGCACAGGGAGCCCCACCUGGCUACACUGAAUGACCUAUGGGUUCUGAGUCAUGGGUCACUUCGUGGUCCACACUAAACCAUAAAAUUGCCAAAGGGUCUCCUUGUGCAAUGCUCUUUCUCCACUGGUUCUUUGGAAGCUGGAGCCCCAUCCUCUCCUGGCUGGAUGGGCCUAAGCUUCCUCACACCCCUGGUGCUAACUCUUGUUUCUGCUCCCAGGAUAUGGUCCCUCCAGCAGCUCUCUCUCCCCGGCCUGCCUAUCUGACCGCAUGCCAGAGGUUCCCAUCUACCAGGAAUUAGUACACCCCGACACAGACAUUUACUGUGGGAUGGACCACAAAGCAGAUGUGGCUUCUUAGUGACUGCCAGGAACUUCUCCUUAAGGGCUGUGGAAAAGAGUCCAGCUAAGAUGCCAAACCUGAGAUGGAGUCAGAAGGUGGAGCCUGAGUCAGGGAACCAGCUUUGAGCCCUGAGGAUAUUCAAGAACCUGAGUCUAGGUUUGGGAUCCCUCCUGGAUUUCUGGAGACCCUGACAGGCUGCCCUGAGCCCUUGAUGGACUAGGAAAUGGGCUCCCAUUCCUGCAGGAAGUGGUGGGGGGCUAAGAGGGAAAGCGACUGGGGCUGUGACCCACCAUGGACCCCCAAGAAAUACGAAUAAAGAGCACCUUCCCAC
This 3331-nucleotide long non-coding RNA is filed under the name Sus scrofa (pig). Its description in RNAcentral is "lncRNA (ENSSSCG00025038796.1)". Lineage: Eukaryota; Metazoa; Chordata; Mammalia; Artiodactyla; Suidae. The record is from RNAcentral.